This 402-nucleotide ribosomal RNA is filed under the name Thelotrema lepadinum. RNAcentral describes it as "SSU rRNA". It matches the Rfam family "Bacterial small subunit ribosomal RNA", at positions 362 to 759 of the family's 1533-position model. Lineage: Eukaryota; Fungi; Ascomycota; Lecanoromycetes; Ostropales; Graphidaceae. The record is from RNAcentral.
UAUUGGUCAAUGGCCUAGCGGCUGAACCAGCAACUUGGAGGAAUGUAUAGAAAAAGCUGGUAAAAAGUGAUGUAUCUACAAGUAUUAGUGAUUAAUAUGAGAUUAACUUAGUUAAUUAAAAUUCUAUGUAAAUAUCUGAUUAUGACAAUAUUUGCUUAUGUCUUGACCAAAUCACGUGCCAGCAGUCGCGGUAAGACGUGGAAGAUAAGUGUUAUUCAUGUUUAAUAGGUUUAAAGGGUACCUAGACGGCUAAUUAAACACUUUAAUGUAUUAAUUAACUAGAGUUUGAUAUAAGAAGGUUUGAGUACGGUGAGUGUAGAGAUAAAAUUCUAUUAGACCAUUAUGGAACUGGUAAAGGCGAAGGCAACCUUCUAUGUAAAAACUGACGUUGAAGGACGAAGG